Molecule: long non-coding RNA, 222 nt
Organism: Conger conger (European conger)
Lineage: Eukaryota; Metazoa; Chordata; Actinopteri; Anguilliformes; Congridae
Exons: 3
Source: RefSeq, a predicted model, not a curated record
GCGCACAUUUCAUUUCAAAACUGCAGUGGAGUGUGAAAACAUACAGUAUUUGUCCUCCAAAGAAGUUCUCAGAGUGGAGUGUUGCAGUUUGCUUCUAUGUAUGUGGGAGGGUCUGAGACCCUCUCUUGUUCCUGCAGUACACAGAGUAUAAAGUUGUUCUGCAAAGCUGAUACUGAAGUUCCCCAGAGUGACACUCUGAACUUCUGAAAUCCAUUCUACAGG